UCCCUGGUGGUCUAGUGGUUAAGACUCUGUGCUUGUACUGCAGGGGGCAUGGGUUCAAUCCCUAGUUAGGGAA
Molecule: transfer RNA, 73 nt
Organism: Ovis aries (sheep)
Lineage: Eukaryota; Metazoa; Chordata; Mammalia; Artiodactyla; Bovidae
Rfam family: tRNA
About the family: Transfer RNA (tRNA) molecules are approximately 80 nucleotides in length. Their secondary structure includes four short double-helical elements and three loops (D, anti-codon, and T loops).
Source: Rfam